Molecule: ribosomal RNA, 257 nt
Filed under: uncultured bacterium
Lineage: Bacteria
Description: partial 16S ribosomal RNA
Rfam family: Bacterial small subunit ribosomal RNA
Source: RNAcentral
UACGUAGGGCGCAAGCGUUAUCCGGAAUUAUUGGGCGUAAAGAGCUCGUAGGCGGUUUGUCGCGUCUGCCGUGAAAGUCCGGGGCUCAACUCCGGAUCUGCGGUGGGUACGGGCAGACUAGAGUGAUGUAGGGGAGACGUGGAAUUCCUGGUGUAGCGGUGAAAUGCGCAGAUAUCAGGAGGAACACCGAGUGGCGAAGGCAGGUCUCUGGGCAUUAACUGACGCUGGAGGAGCGAAAGCAUGGGGGAGCGAACAGG